CACCAAUCCGCACCUUCCACUAUCCGGGUAGGACCAAUCAGCGGCUGCGGGGACUGGGAGGGAGACUGUCGCCAUGGCACCAAGGAGGCGGGAGCGCGCGGUGGGUAGAAGCACAGAGCAAAGCCGCCGGCUGGGGGCUGGAGAGACAGGUCUGUGCGCUGCAAGCAUUCAGCAGGCGGAGUUUCGUGCGCUGAGACCCAGCUGGGUAAGGCCGGUGGCCUCGAGGGUGGACAUAGGAACUUAUAUUUCUCAUCUUGGUCCUUAAGCUCUCCAUGAUCUGGUCCAACUUUAAAGGAAAUAACUGAUUAUGUUCACCAGUGAGCUUGCACAUGAGCUAACUGCCUUGUAUUUUACAGGUAGGUAGUGGGUUUCAAAAAAGAAUUUGAGAUGUCUUGCUUUCUUACUGAUCACUGUGACUGAAGCUGGGGUUAAUUUUUAAAAGUGAUCAUAAGGGUAAAAAAAGAU
RNAcentral lists this long non-coding RNA (465 nucleotides) under Camelus dromedarius (Arabian camel). RNAcentral's name for it is "lncRNA (ENSCDRG00005015388.1)". Lineage: Eukaryota; Metazoa; Chordata; Mammalia; Artiodactyla; Camelidae. The record is from RNAcentral.